UUAAGCGACUAAGCGUACACGGUGGAUGCCCUGGCAGUCAGAGGCGAUGAAGGACGUGCUAAUCUGCGAUAAGCGUCGGUGAGGUGAUAUGAACCGUUAUAACCGGCGAUUUCCGAAUGGGGAAACCCAGUGUGUUUCGACACACUAUCAUUAACUGAAUCCAUAGGUUAAUGAGGCGAACCGGGGGAACUGAAACAUCUAAGUACCCCGAGGAAAAGAAAUCAACCGAGAUUCCCCCAGUAGCGGCGAGCGAACGGGGAGGAGCCCAGAGCCUGAAUCAGUGUGUGUGUUAGUGGAAGCGUCUGGAAAGGCGUGCGAUACAGGGUGACAGCCCCGUACACAAAAAUGCACAUAUUGUGAGCUCGAUGAGUAGGGCGGGACACGUGGUAUCCUGUCUGAAUAUGGGGGGACCAUCCUCCAAGGCUAAAUACUCCUGACUGACCGAUAGUGAACCAGUACCGUGAGGGAAAGGCGAAAAGAACCCCGGCGAGGGGAGUGAAAAAGAACCUGAAACCGUGUACGUACAAGCAGUGGGAGCCUCUUAAUGGGGUGACUGCGUACCUUUUGUAUAAUGGGUCAGCGACUUAUAUUCUGUAGCAAGGUUAACCGAAUAGGGGAGCCGAAGGGAAACCGAGUCUUAACUGGGCGUUAAGUUGCAGGGUAUAGACCCGAAACCCGGUGAUCUAGCCAUGGGCAGGUUGAAGGUUGGGUAACACUAACUGGAGGACCGAACCGACUAAUGUUGAAAAAUUAGCGGAUGACUUGUGGCUGGGGGUGAAAGGCCAAUCAAACCGGGAGAUAGCUGGUUCUCCCCGAAAGCUAUUUAGGUAGCGCCUCGUGAAUUCAUCUCCGGGGGUAGAGCACUGUUUCGGCAAGGGAGUCAUCCCGACUUACCAACCCGAUGCAAACUGCGAAUACCGGAGAAUGUUAUCACGGGAGACACACGGCGGGUGCUAACGUCCGUCGUGAAGAGGGAAACAACCCAGACCGCCAGCUAAGGUCCCAAAGUCAUGGUUAAGUGGGAAACGAUGUGGGAAGGCCCAGACAGCCAGGAUGUUGGCUUAGAAGCAGCCAUCAUUUAAAGAAAGCGUAAUAGCUCACUGGUCGAGUCGGCCUGCGCGGAAGAUGUAACGGGGCUAAACCAUGCACCGAAGCUGCGGCAGCGACACUAUGUGUUGUUGGGUAGGGGAGCGUUCUGUAAGCCUGUGAAGGUGGCCUGUGAGGGUUGCUGGAGGUAUCAGAAGUGCGAAUGCUGACAUAAGUAACGAUAAAGCGGGUGAAAAGCCCGCUCGCCGGAAGACCAAGGGUUCCUGUCCAACGUUAAUCGGGGCAGGGUGAGUCGACCCCUAAGGCGAGGCCGAAAGGCGUAGUCGAUGGGAAACAGGUUAAUAUUCCUGUACUUGGUGUUACUGCGAAGGGGGGACGGAGAAGGCUAUGUUGGCCGGGCGACGGUUGUCCCGGUUUAAGCGUGUAGGCUGGUUUUCCAGGCAAAUCCGGAAAACCAAGGCUGAGGCGUGAUGACGAGGCACUACGGUGCUGAAGUGACAAAUGCCCUGCUUCCAGGAAAAGCCUCUAAGCAUCAGGUAACAUCAAAUCGUACCCCAAACCGACACAGGUGGUCAGGUAGAGAAUACCAAGGCGCUUGAGAGAACUCGGGUGAAGGAACUAGGCAAAAUGGUGCCGUAACUUCGGGAGAAGGCACGCUGAUAUGUAGGUGAAGCGACUUGCUCGUGGAGCUGAAAUCAGUCGAAGAUACCAGCUGGCUGCAACUGUUUAUUAAAAACACAGCACUGUGCAAACACGAAAGUGGACGUAUACGGUGUGACGCCUGCCCGGUGCCGGAAGGUUAAUUGAUGGGGUUAGCGGUAACGCGAAGCUCUUGAUCGAAGCCCCGGUAAACGGCGGCCGUAACUAUAACGGUCCUAAGGUAGCGAAAUUCCUUGUCGGGUAAGUUCCGACCUGCACGAAUGGCGUAAUGAUGGCCAGGCUGUCUCCACCCGAGACUCAGUGAAAUUGAACUCGCUGUGAAGAUGCAGUGUACCCGCGGCAAGACGGAAAGACCCCGUGAACCUUUACUAUAGCUUGACACUGAACAUUGAGCCUUGAUGUGUAGGAUAGGUGGGAGGCUUUGAAGUGUGGACGCCAGUCUGCAUGGAGCCGACCUUGAAAUACCACCCUUUAAUGUUUGAUGUUCUAACGUUGGCCCGUAAUCCGGGUUGCGGACAGUGUCUGGUGGGUAGUUUGACUGGGGCGGUCUCCUCCUAAAGAGUAACGGAGGAGCACGAAGGUUGGCUAAUCCUGGUCGGACAUCAGGAGGUUAGUGCAAUGGCAUAAGCCAGCUUGACUGCGAGCGUGACGGCGCGAGCAGGUGCGAAAGCAGGUCAUAGUGAUCCGGUGGUUCUGAAUGGAAGGGCCAUCGCUCAACGGAUAAAAGGUACUCCGGGGAUAACAGGCUGAUACCGCCCAAGAGUUCAUAUCGACGGCGGUGUUUGGCACCUCGAUGUCGGCUCAUCACAUCCUGGGGCUGAAGUAGGUCCCAAGGGUAUGGCUGUUCGCCAUUUAAAGUGGUACGCGAGCUGGGUUUAGAACGUCGUGAGACAGUUCGGUCCCUAUCUGCCGUGGGCGCUGGAGAACUGAGGGGGGCUGCUCCUAGUACGAGAGGACCGGAGUGGACGCAUCACUGGUGUUCGGGUUGUCAUGCCAAUGGCACUGCCCGGUAGCUAAAUGCGGAAGAGAUAAGUGCUGAAAGCAUCUAAGCACGAAACUUGCCCCGAGAUGAGUUCUCCCUGACUCCUUGAGGGUCCUGAAGGAACGUUGAAGACGACGACGUUGAUAGGCCGGGUGUGUAAGCGCAGCGAUGCGUUGAGCUAACCGGUACUAAUGAACCGUGAGGCUUAACCUU
This 2902-nucleotide ribosomal RNA is filed under the name Escherichia coli HVH 172 (4-3248542). RNAcentral's name for it is "bacterial LSU rRNA". It matches the Rfam family "Bacterial large subunit ribosomal RNA". Lineage: Bacteria; Pseudomonadati; Pseudomonadota; Gammaproteobacteria; Enterobacterales; Enterobacteriaceae. The record is from RNAcentral.